GAUGAACGCGGCGGCGUGCCUAAUACAUGCAAGUAGAACGCUGAAGCUUGGUGCUUGCACCGAGCGGAUGAGUUGCGAACGGGUGAGUAACGCGUAGGUAACCUGCCUCUUAGCGGGGGAUAACUAUUGGAAACGAUAGCUAAUACCGCAUAAAAGUCGACAUCGCAUGAUGUUGACUUGAAAGGUGCAAUUGCAUCACUAAGAGAUGGACCUGCGUUGUAUUAGCUAGUUGGUGAGGUAACGGCUCACCAAGGCGACGAUACAUAGCCGACCUGAGAGGGUGAUCGGCCACACUGGGACUGAGACACGGCCCAGACUCCUACGGGAGGCAGCAGUAGGGAAUCUUCGGCAAUGGGGGCAACCCUGACCGAGCAACGCCGCGUGGGUGAAGAAGGUUUUCGGAUCGUAAAGCUCUGUUGUAAGAGAAGAACGAGUGUGAGAGUGGAAAGUUCACACUGUGACGGAACUACCA
This 472-nucleotide ribosomal RNA is filed under the name Streptococcus parasanguinis. RNAcentral describes it as "bacterial SSU rRNA". It matches the Rfam family "Bacterial small subunit ribosomal RNA", at positions 28 to 485 of the family's 1533-position model. Lineage: Bacteria; Bacillati; Bacillota; Bacilli; Lactobacillales; Streptococcaceae. The record is from RNAcentral.